UACGUAGGUGGCAAGCGUUGUCCGGAAUUAUUGGGCGUAAAGCGCGCGCAGGUGGUUUCUUAAGUCUGAUGUGAAAGCCCACGGCUCAACCGUGGAGGGUCAUUGGAAACUGGGGAACUUGAGUGCAGGAGAGAAGAGUGGAAUUCCACGUGUAGCGGUGAAAUGCGUAGAGAUGUGGAGGAACACCAGUGGCGAAGGCGACUCUUUGGCCUGUAACUGACGCUGAGGCGCGAAAGCGUGGGGAGCAAACGGG
RNAcentral lists this ribosomal RNA (253 nucleotides) under uncultured bacterium. Its description in RNAcentral is "partial 16S ribosomal RNA". It matches the Rfam family "Bacterial small subunit ribosomal RNA", at positions 524 to 776 of the family's 1533-position model. The record is from RNAcentral.